UACAGAGGGGGCAAGCGUUGUUCGGAUUUACUGGGCGUAAAGGGCGCGUAGGCGGCCACCGCAAGUCAAUUGUGAAAUCUCCGGGCUUAACUCGGAAAGGUCAACUGAUACUGCGGGGCUAGAGUGCGGAAGGGGCAACUGGAAUUCUCGGUGUAGCGGUGAAAUGCGUAGAUAUCGAGAGGAACACCUGCGGCGAAGGCGGGUUGCUGGGCCGACACUGACGCUGAUGCGCGAAAGCCAGGGGAGCGAACGGG
RNAcentral lists this ribosomal RNA (254 nucleotides) under uncultured bacterium. RNAcentral's name for it is "partial 16S ribosomal RNA". It matches the Rfam family "Bacterial small subunit ribosomal RNA", at positions 524 to 776 of the family's 1533-position model. The record is from RNAcentral.